AUUGAACGCUGGCGGCAUGCCUUACACAUGCAAGUCGAACGGCAGCACGGGAGCAAUCCUGGUGGCGAGUGGCGAACGGGUGAGUAAUACAUCGGAACGUGCCCAGUAGUGGGGGAUAACCCGGCGAAAGCCGGACUAAUACCGCAUACGACCUACGGGUGAAAGCGGGGGAUCGCAAGACCUCGCGCUAUCGGAGCGGCCGAUGUCAGAUUAGCUAGUUGGUGGGGUAAAGGCCUACCAAGGCGACGAUCUGUAGCUGGUCUGAGAGGACGACCAGCCACACUGGGACUGAGACACGGCCCAGACUCCUACGGGAGGCAGCAGUGGGGAAUUUUGGACAAUGGGCGCAAGCCUGAUCCAGCCAUGCCGCGUGCGGGAAGAAGGCCUCGGUUGUAA
Molecule: ribosomal RNA, 396 nt
Filed under: uncultured bacterium
Lineage: Bacteria
Description: bacterial SSU rRNA
Rfam family: Bacterial small subunit ribosomal RNA
Source: RNAcentral